This 283-nucleotide ribosomal RNA is filed under the name uncultured Sphingobacteriales bacterium. RNAcentral describes it as "partial 16S ribosomal RNA". It matches the Rfam family "Bacterial small subunit ribosomal RNA", at positions 1100 to 1382 of the family's 1533-position model. Lineage: Bacteria; Pseudomonadati; Bacteroidota; Sphingobacteriia; Sphingobacteriales. The record is from RNAcentral.
AACCCCUACCUUUAGUUGCCAUCAGGUUAAGCUGGGGACUCUAAAGGAACUGCCUACGCAAGUAGUGAGGAAGGCGGGGAUGACGUCAAAUCAGCACGGCCCUUACGUCCAGGGCUACACACGUGCUACAAUGGCCGAUACAGAGGGCAGCUACCUGGUGACAGGAUGCAAAUCUCCAAAGUCGGUCUCAGUUCGGAUCGGAGUCUGCAACCCGACUCCGUGAAGUUGGAUUCGCUAGUAAUCGCGCAUCAGCCAUGGCGCGGUGAAUACGUUCCCGGGCCUU